Molecule: long non-coding RNA, 5054 nt
Organism: Strigops habroptila (Kakapo)
Lineage: Eukaryota; Metazoa; Chordata; Aves; Psittaciformes; Psittacidae
Exons: 3
Source: RefSeq, a predicted model, not a curated record
AGUUGUGGAUGCCCCAUCCCUGGCAGUGUUCAACUCAAACCAGUCUGUGGGUCUAUGAGAGCCUUUUGCUACUGUGCAUCUGUCACAGCUGCCUGACUGGGGACCACGUAGUCCUGGACAGGAAAGCAUGGUAGGAGAAGCAAGCCAUCAGCAGAAGCCAAGAGGCUGCUCGGGUUUAGGGUUUCGUAUUGUUAUGGGGUUUCUUCUUAUUAUAAUGCCAUCAUCUCCAAUUGGUGUGGCAGAUGUUCCAUGAAGAUAAAUUAAGCAUGGAUUCUCAACAAAGAGCCUUUAUACAGCCACAGGUUGCAUCAGCUGUGUGGUGCCUGAAAAUGGAGCGGGCUGGUAAGCAGCUUCCAGAGCUGAUGGCGUGACUCACUGUGUUUGUGCAUCGUCAAUAUUCGAGCAGACAGGAAUCAUCAUGGGAAGCUGAUUGCAGAGAGUGAGUCAAACGAGGGCCUCCUUCCCCUGAGCUAAACACGCAGGGACAGUUCAAAACCUGUCUCGGCAAGAAGUUACUCUACUACAGGAAUUUCUGUUUUGAGUGAAAGCAGCACUUAUUUAAUUUAGGGGAGGGAUGAUUACUUAAAGCUGUGUAUAAAAACAUAUUUGAUCCUCUGACUAACUUCACAGUUAUUCUAAUGUUGUCUUGCAAAACUUAAGUCCUUUCUAUCAUCAUUUUAAAGCUAGUUUAAUAUUUUUGGAUUGCAAGAAUGGAUACGGAGGACUAAAUACACUAUCAGGUUCUGCCUGCAUAGCUAGCUGGCAGGGCAUGUUAUGACAGACAGAGGCCCUGUCUCCACAUGAAACCUCUUGGAGUAAAGUGGUAGAUUUAGAAAAACAUAUCCGUAUUCCAGCUCUGUACCAUGAAAACUCUAGAAUUUGCAGCACCUGAUACCUACACAUUGAAAAUCCGUAUCAUUUAAUAUGCAUGCAGCCUAGGUACCAUGAAACUUCCCCAAGCAUGAGGAUAGUUGUGAGCCUGAACAGCUCUUAAGCGGGGAAGCAUAUUGGCGACAGAGAGAGAGAUUUCAGGGAGGAUAUCAAGCUAAGUAAAGACAGGAAGCCAAAUCCUAAAAGGCAUUAUUGAAUAAAGGAAGAUAGGCAUUUUCAGUGAGCUGAAUACCUUACUCUUGUCGGGGGUUGACAUAGAGGGCAAAUCUCCACAUGGAACAGGAGGAAAAGGGGAAGAAACUCCACAUGUUGAAACUCCUGUCCACGUAUAGAGCAUGUAAGUGUAAUUUGUAAGGGAGCAGUAACUGUGAACUUAACUGAACUUUCCUUUAUUUGGGGCCAAGGAAGACAUUCAGGAUUUGCUACAUUUUUUUUCCUGAAUAAAUCGCAUGACGGGCAUAUUCAGAAUUUCAGUAAUGUUUUUAUUCAUAAAAUUGACCUUGAUUAGCACUUUCUGGGGUCCUUGUUCAGCUCCACAUUGCAAAGAAACAAUUAUGUUUCACAGUUUGUUGGCACUGGGCAUGCUGUCUGGGUCUGAUCCAGAAGUCCAUCAGUCUGUCCUAUCUACCAACAUUUCAUACACGCUUUCCCCAAACUGUGGCCUCCUGAGCACUUAGAGGCUGCAGAGCCUUUGUAUAUUGCUCACAAAAGGAUUUCUUAAUAAUGGCUGUCUCCAGCAGAUAAAGGUGCACAAGUUGUGGGGUGAGUUCUGGUCUGCAUGCCGGAGCUAGCAGCUAAGCAGACAUGGGGGAGACCUGCAGCUCUACAUUCCAGACUUCAGGUGCUCCCCUUACUGCCCUGCCGCAUCCCCUCAGAAAUCCAAGCUAAGCUGGCCUUUCUUUAUCAAAUUGUGGUUGUUAAGAUCCAGAUUCCAGUUUCUCCUAGGCUGUAGAGCAGAUACCACAUUUGGUUCUUUCAGAAACACAUCCUCAAGACUGGGGUGAACACGAGUGGCAACGCCCAUCUUAACAUGAAGAUCUAAAACCCCAUGAAGGUCCCAGUUCUGCAGAUCUUCUGGAUGCUAGAAGAAAACCCUAUCCUGCCUUCAUGGCCUCUUUGUGAAAGAAAAGGAAGGAAUACAGAAACUACAGGAGGAAAAAGCCCACUGCUCCCUGCACUAAAGCACUUCACAUGCCAGCCAGCUUUCCAAAAUGGGAAAGUCUGUAGCUCCUGCAGUCUUACACAUACGAGUAUCUUAAAUGAUGCAGCUGAGACAGACCCCGUAACAUCACAAGGUACAGAUGCUUUAAAACAGUUGUAUUAAAAAAAAAAAUAAUAAAAAAAAUCUGCUUUUAUUUUCACCCUGUUUUGAACAUUUUCAGUCCUGCCAUCAUGUUUUUCAGUUUUCUGGCUUACUGAGCCAUAAACUUGUUAUAAUAAGCAAAAUGUGAAUUUCUCAAGUAAUCCUCAUCACCUGAACCAAGGAACUGCGGUUGCGAGGGAACUAUCAAAUAUCACAAGGCUUGCGAUGAAAUGAGAGUUGGCUACGCUCUGACAACCCCUGUCAGUGAGACAACAACAGCUGUUCUGAACAAACACCACAGCCAGAAAAGAACAAAUUAAUGGUCAGCCAAGGCGAAGUGAAAUGGAGAACAAACAAAGGAUAAACUUGACCAAGCUAUGACCAACCAAGGGUAAACUAAACCAACUUUCCCAUAUGUUUAAUAGGAAUAAUAGCACUUAUUUAUGGAGGAGGGUUAUUUUCAAUGAUCAAUUCAUUAGUAUUUGUGAAAUGCUGUGGAGUCCUUCAUGGAAUAUGCAAAAUAAUGCAAAAUGUGAGCUAAUAUAGCAUAUGUGCUGCUCCAAGGCAACCACAGCUUAUCCAAGGGAGAGAGGAAGUAUAGGUGAAGGGGCAAGACAGGGAAAAACAAACACAGGGCAAAUGGCAAUAAGAUGUGUUGCAGGGGAAGAAGAGGAAAUGAAAUCAUAGGGGACAUAUAAGGAGGAAAUGAGGCCAUAUGGGAUAAAGAGGUGAUGCCUAGGUUACUGCAGUAUAGCGAUGCAGGGCACAAAUCUGUAUGAAACUGAGCUUUAUUACUUCUGCUGCUUAUUCAGUAACCUGUUGUCUGUUGUCUGUUUUGGGGUUUUGUUGGGUUUUUUGUUUGGUUGGGUUUUUUUUAAGAAAAAACUAAUCAUAACCAGAUAUAACCAGAUGGGAGUAUUUAACUGACCAUCUGCAAGUGCAGCGGGUAACUGCAUUUUCAAGGGUAUAAAUCUUCCAAGAGAAGAAAUCAAAAUCAUUAUACUUCUGUAUUGCUGACAGAGUGAGCAUUGUUUGAGAACUGAUUGCAACAUGCACUUGAACAAUAGCUUUAGAUCAGCAGAAGCAUAAAAUAUUGCUGUGACAUGUUUCAAUUAAAACAAAAAUAAUUAACCACCCGUUAGUGUCAUGAAAAACAGAGGCUAUUAACAGUAAAUGCUCUUUAGCAAUUGUGUUAUCUCCACAAAGCUGUUUCCAGUGUUUUUUCUCCCCUAUUGAUAAUUUUUUCCACUGUGUAGCUAUCUGCCUCCUGGUUUACAUAUUCCUCCUCAGCUUCCUUUAUAUCUUGGUACUGUAGAAAACUGAUUAGUGGGGGAGACUGUAAUGAUACAAAGGCUCUUCACCUGGAGGCUGCCUGUUGUCAUAUUGUGCGUCAGUGUUGUUAUUAUAUGACAGCUAAUUUUGCUUCUGGAGAAUUGCUGCGCAGAUCAUGAAAAUACUGUCUUGCUGACUGCCGUGGGAAGCUUUGAUGGUAUUCUGGUAAAGAACACAGGGACUGAAGAAGUGCCUUGCACUUCUCACGUCUAGUAAUGGAUUUUCCGAGUUAGCGUUAGAGCACUGUCACUGACUCCAGAGUUUUUUAUACUAAGGAGAAACUGGAGUUGCUGAGAUCAUGGUUUUCCUAGUGCCUGUGUGAAGGAUCAAAGCCAUUAAUUUUUAAAUAAAAGUUUCUACUAUUGAAGGUAUUUAUUUCAUUACAAUAUUAAAAAAACCCCAACUUAUUUCUAAAUGUACCUGUGGCCCUAGUUCUCCAAAAGAUUCUCUGCAGAACAAUGUCAAAAAGCACCCAGUUACUCUUUUCAUACCUAGCUCAUGUCCUUUCAUAUCGAGAUCACUGAGACCCAAACUGUACACAUUUCUUUUGCAGUAGAAAAUGACAUCUUUCGAAAGAGUUAUUACCUUUUUAUAAAUGGACUCUUUUUCUAAGAACUGUAACUUUAAGUUAGAAUUCCAUCUGCUUUUAGGAGUCUAAAGACUCACACAGGGAUAACAGUUUAGAAUUCUACUGUUAUUUUCAACACAAUCCUUAUUUAACACAAUUCUUAUUCAACACAAUUCUUAUUCUUUACAGUAUCAUUGGACAUCCCAGCUGAUGUAUAUAUUAAGUGCUGUUGGUAGAAAUUUGUAUUCAGUAUAGUAGUAUUAAAUUUGUAUUUUCUCUUUUAACUUUUCAGAUGCUGGUAAUUGUUUGUGUAAUAGCAGGUUCCUUGUUCCUACUGUACAUGUAUGGCAAGAUGCCUGCUAUCAGCUGAGCUGUGAAAAUGAAAGUAUCAGAAUAUCUCUGUGUGUGAACUCUGCAAGAAACAAACACUACCCUCUGCUUAGAAAAAAAAAAAGGCACAAACCAGCAAAACCCAACACCCUUGCUGAAGAAAGCUUUGGUCUUCCAAAAUGAGUGUAAGGGAAAAGUCAGUAGUAGUAAAUUCUACCCUGUCAGAGAACUCUCACCCAAUUUAUUCUGUUUACAGAUUUGGUUUAAUAAUGAUUAUUUCUCACACCUCUUUGUAAAAUAUUCUGAGAUUCACUGAUAAAAAGUGCUAGAGAAUGAAAUAAUAUUCAACUAUUGUACAGUUACAGAUCAUAAUUUUAAUAGUUUUAUAGUUUGAUGAUAAUUUAUUAAUAUCUUGCUUAUGAUUACAACUAAGACUGUAUUUCUUCUUUUGAACCUAUGAAUAAAAUGUAUCACUCAUUUAACUACUUGCUCAGAUCCUCCCACAUCCAGUCAGUCCACCAUCACCCCUGUCACGACACCCAGAGAGCAUGUACAACUGUUCUGAAAAUGUACCCUCAGCAUAAUUUACAAAGAUUAAUCUACUAAUACAGAUGUUUAACUAUCUGUCAA